UGAAGGAAGGGCAGGAGAUGACAGGAACUCCAGGAGCUUUACACCGUUGGGACAUUCUUCCUCUUCUACAUCUCCUCUCAGGCUGGCUGCCCACAAGCCAGAUCCAUGGCAACAAACAUCACUAGACUUUUAUUUUUAAAACCUCCAAACCAGAGAAGACAGCUCCUGCCCCUCUGAAGGAGUAAUUCUUUUUUGGAGGUACAUCUGUGGGUCUUCAGAAAACUGUGGCUUUAAGAUGUAGUCUAUUUUCCUCAGGAGCUUCCCAGUCCAAAUGUCACACAGAUAUGACAAAGAAUUCUGCAAUAUGUACUCCUCCUGCUCAUGGGUCCUGGGAGAUAUGUGCAUGAGUUUCUCUAGGGUACGUACCAAGCAGUGGAUCAACCACAUCGAAGGGUUUGUACGUCAUUUAAACUCCUGAGAGCACUGAAGAAAAGUUCACUCCACAUCCUCACCAUCACUUGGAUGUUCGAAGCCAUUAAAAUUUCAGUGUGGUUUUUGCUUUUUAA
Molecule: long non-coding RNA, 506 nt
Organism: Callithrix jacchus (white-tufted-ear marmoset)
Lineage: Eukaryota; Metazoa; Chordata; Mammalia; Primates; Cebidae
Source: RefSeq, a predicted model, not a curated record